GACGAACGCUGGCGGCGUGCUUAACACAUGCAAGUCGAACGGUGAUGCUCCAGCUUGCUGGAGUGGAUCAGUGGCGAACGGGUGAGUAACACGUGAGCAACCUGCCCCAGACUCUGGAAUAAGCGCUGGAAACGGCGGCUAAUACUGGAUACGAAACUGGCCCGCAUGGGCAUGGUUGGGAAAGUUUUUCGGUUUGGGAUGGGCUCGCGGCCUAUCAGCUUGUUGGUGAGGUAGUGGCUUACCAAGGCGACGACGGGUAGCCGGCCUGAGAGGGCGACCGGCCACACUGGGACUGGGACACGGCCCAAACUCCUACGGGAGGCAGCAGUGGGGAAUAUUGCACAAUGGGCGGAAGCCUGAUGCAGCGACGCCGCGUGGGGGAUGACGGCCUUCGGGUUGUAAACCUCUUUCAGCAGGGAAGAAGCGAAAGUGACGGUACCUGCAGAAGAAGCACCGGCUAACUACGUG
This 468-nucleotide ribosomal RNA is filed under the name uncultured bacterium. Its description in RNAcentral is "partial 16S ribosomal RNA". It matches the Rfam family "Bacterial small subunit ribosomal RNA", at positions 28 to 507 of the family's 1533-position model. The record is from RNAcentral.